UGGGGAAUAUUGGACAAUGGGCGAAAGCCUGAUCCAGCAAUACCGCGUGUGUGAAGAAGGCCCUAGGGUUGUAAAGCACUUUCAAUUGGGAGGAAAACCUACCGGUCAAUACCCGGUAGCUUGACAUUACCUUUAGAAGAAGCACCGGCAAACUUCGUGCCAGCAGCCGCGGUAAUACGAAGGGUGCGAGCGUUGUUCGGAAUUAUUGGGCGUAAAGGGUUCGUAGGCGGGAUUGUAAGUCGAGUGUGAAAUCCCCGAGCUUAACUCGGGACGUGCAUUUGAAACUGUGAUUCUUGAGUCAUUGAGAGGGUGGUGGAAUUGUUGGUGUAGGAGUGACAUCCGUAGAGAUCAACAGGAACAUCAGAGGCGUAAGCGGCCACCUGGCAAUGUACUGACGCUGAGGAACGAAAGCGUGGGGAGCAAACAGG
Molecule: ribosomal RNA, 428 nt
Filed under: uncultured bacterium
Lineage: Bacteria
Description: bacterial SSU rRNA
Rfam family: Bacterial small subunit ribosomal RNA
Source: RNAcentral